UGAGUGAGAUCCCUCUAAGUCCCACAUCCCAAGGAGCCAUCUGCAGCUCACGUGGGUGCAUGUCCAGGGCAGGCUUUGUAGGCACACUACUCAGGCCCAGGGCAAGCAGUCACAAUAUGCCAAUCUCACUGACCAAUCUCAGCUUCACGUUCACCCUGCCUGGACAAGUGCUUUCAUAGUAGUUCUGGGAAUGUGACAUUUCAGCAUCUGACCAGUACUGACCGCAUGGCACUUCCUGUUCAUAUGUGCUAUUUCAUCAAUUAAAAAAAAAUCAUGAAACGAGAGAAGCAACCAAUCUGAAUGGCCAAUAGGACCUCACUACGCAUUACUAUGUGGUCUACCCAUAGAUGUUUCUAAAUGGUUAUGUGGGAGGCAACAACGGAGUUGGGAAGAAUCAGUGGCUGGCUUCUGUCACAGGGGAAACCCCUACAUCCAGCAUGCCAGCAUAAACAGAACUGAGAAAGGGAACUGGAGAGCUUCACACAGGAGGCCACCUUAUCGCAGAGGAACCUUCUCAAUGUGCUUUGCAGCUCCAUAAAAUAAAACCAGUGGAGGUAAACAGACACAACUUCAACAAAUGGUGACAGUGCUACUUACUUUUUGUAGUAACAUUUCCUAAAACUACCCAAAAUGUAAUCCCAUCUUCCCCAGUCAACAAAUCAGAGACUGACACUGCACUUACUUCAGCCACAGCAGCUGUGGGUCAUGGAGUGUUUUUCAAACCUGUGAAUGGUCCUCUGCCUCCAAAAGCCUGUAUUUUUUUCCCCAUGAUUUGUCUAAUAAUAGAUUUUCUUCAGACUAACUACUAUAAAGUCAGCUUUGUUUUUACUCCUUUUCUUUAAGAGCUGGUGUGUUUGGCGCUCUACAAUCUACAGUAACUGAGAAGACACAACCUCACCUGUCUGGAAAGAACUAACAAGGUUUCCCCCACUAGGUUAAGAACGUGUCUGCAGUAACGCUACCUUUCUGGGCUACUAUCCCACUGUACAUACACAAAAUCAGCCAAUUCAUUCAGGUCCAUAUUUAUUAACAAGCCUGUACACUGUUAAUACUUCUGAUGCCCGAAAAAAAGAACACUAAUAGAACACAGUCUUAAUGUUUCAGAUGCCAAAUGCUUUGAUAUUAUUCCUGUUAAUGUCAUGAGCCUGGACUGGCUCACGGAACAAGAACUGAGCACUGCAGUCCAGCACUACAGAAGGAAUGACAUGAGGGUUGUUGAUCAGCGUUUGGGGGUGUAUCAAUCUGAUGCAGAAAGACAAGUGUUAUUAGAGCUCCCAGGAGACAGUCUCUCUUACAAGCCCAGUUUGGUCCUUCUCCAGUGUCUCCUCUUGGAGUUGUACCUGAUCUUAUUGCCCGUUUUCAUGCGAAUCCAUUGAGGAAUGGGGCGGUUUUGCUUCUGCUUCUUCGCGAGGAAGCGUUUGAUCUUGAAGGUCUUGUGAGACGACAUAGCGCUGCGCGGUUCGGCGUCCCGACGAUGGCGGCUGCGAAAGAGGCGGAAGGGGCGUGGCGAGGGCGGGGCGGCGACGCGGGCCCGUGGGCACAGCGCCCCCCUGCGGCGCGGCUCUGAG
RNAcentral lists this long non-coding RNA (1568 nucleotides) under Gallus gallus (chicken). The record is from RNAcentral. Lineage: Eukaryota; Metazoa; Chordata; Aves; Galliformes; Phasianidae.